Non-coding RNA from Viridothelium virens, 71 nucleotides. The record is from the annotation of a GenBank genome assembly. NCBI's taxonomy places the organism in Eukaryota, Fungi, Ascomycota, Dothideomycetes, Trypetheliales, Trypetheliaceae.
GCAUCGAUAGGCCAGUGGUAGACUGCAAGCUUCCCAUGCUUGCGCCCCGGGUUCGAUUCCCGGUCGAUGCA